This 436-nucleotide ribosomal RNA is filed under the name uncultured Enterococcus sp. RNAcentral's name for it is "bacterial SSU rRNA". It matches the Rfam family "Bacterial small subunit ribosomal RNA", at positions 530 to 967 of the family's 1533-position model. Lineage: Bacteria; Bacillati; Bacillota; Bacilli; Lactobacillales; Enterococcaceae. The record is from RNAcentral.
GGUGGCAAGCGUUGUCCGGAUUUAUUGGGCGUAAAGCGAGCGCAGGCGGUUCUUUAAGUCUGAUGUGAAAGCCCCCGGCUCAACCGGGGAGGGUCAUUGGAAACUGGAGAACUUGAGUGCAGAAGAGGAGAGUGGAAUUCCAUGUGUAGCGGUGAAAUGCGUAGAUAUAUGGAGGAACACCAGUGGCGAAGGCGACUCUCUGGUCUGUAACUGACGCUGAGGCUCGAAAGCGUGGGGAGCAAACAGGAUUAGAUACCCUGGUAGUCCACGCCGUAAACGAUGAGUGCUAAGUGUUGGAGGGUUUCCGCCCUUCAGUGCUGCAGCUAACGCAUUAAGCACUCCGCCUGGGGAGUACGACCGCAAGGUUGAAACUCAAAGGAAUUGGCGGGGGAGCACGGGGCGGGGGCGGCGGGCCGGGCGCGGGGCGCGGCGGGCG